This 1095-nucleotide ribosomal RNA is filed under the name Triticum aestivum (bread wheat). Its description in RNAcentral is "partial small subunit ribosomal RNA". Lineage: Eukaryota; Viridiplantae; Streptophyta; Magnoliopsida; Poales; Poaceae. The record is from RNAcentral.
AUGGCGUCGGGAUCAGCAGCUCUGGCUGUCGUCGCCGUGGCCGUGGCGGCUGCGCUCCUUGCCCUGUGUGGCUCGACGGAGGCCCACGCGCAGUUCGGGGCGUACAACAAGACGUGCCCACAGGCGGAGGACAUCGUGUUCAAGGAGAUGACCGCCGUCCUCGCCAAGUCGCCCGGCCUCGCCGGAUCCAUGCUCAGGCUCUUCUCCGUCGACUGCUUCGUCGGAGGUUGUGAGGGGUCGAUACUUCUCGACUCGACGGCCAACAACACGGCAGAGAAGGACUCGCCGCUCAACAAGGGCCUCCGCGGCUACAACGUCAUCGACUCCAUCAAGGCGAAGCUCGAGGCGGCCUGCCCCGGCGUUGUCUCCUGCGCCGACGUCCUCGCCCUUGCUGCGCGUGACUCCGUGCGAAUUACCAAAGGCCCCUACAUCCCGGUCCCGACGGGACGGGAGGACGGCAAUAGAUCGUCUGCCGCCGACGUCGCCCCCAACACCCCCAAGCCGGACGCCAGCAUUACCGACCUCAUCACCUUCUUCGGGAAGUUCAACCUCACUGCCAAGGACCUUGCCGUCCUCUCCGGUGCACACACCACCGGCAAGGCUCACUGCCCCGCCUUCUCCGCCCGCCUCUACAACUUCACCGCCAGCAACAACAUCUCAGACCCCACGCUCGAUGCCAACUACACGGCCACGCUCCGCGGCCAGUGUGCGGCCGGUGACCUCGCCACCCUCGUCGACCUCGACCCCAGCAGCGACACGACGUUCGACCUUGGCUACUACAGGGGCGUCGCGGCGAGCAGGGGCCUCCUCUCCACCGACGGCGCGCUGCUCCUCAACGAGGACACCAGGGCCUACGUGACGCGCCAGGCCAACGCCACCGCGCCCGCCGAGUUCUUCGCCGACUUCGCUGCGUCCUUCAUCAACAUGAGCAAGAUCGGCGUGUUGUCGCACCAUAAGGGCCAGAUAAGGAGGCACUGCUCCGUUGUCAACCCUCUGUCCGCCUCCUCCCAGGCGCCCGUCACCAUGGGCGCGCACGCCGCUGUGCUACUUGCCAGCUCUUUCGUCUCCAUCGUCGCUCUGGCGCUUGUGCUCUAG